RNAcentral lists this ribosomal RNA (253 nucleotides) under uncultured bacterium. RNAcentral describes it as "partial 16S ribosomal RNA". It matches the Rfam family "Bacterial small subunit ribosomal RNA", at positions 524 to 776 of the family's 1533-position model. The record is from RNAcentral.
GACGGAGGAUGCAAGCGUUAUCCGGAAUGAUUGGGCGUAAAGCGUCCGCAGGUGGCAGUUCAAGUCUGCUGUCAAAGACCGGGGCUUAACUUCGGAAAGGCAGUGGAAACUGAACAGCUAGAGUAUGGUAGGGGCAGAGGGAAUUCCUGGUGUAGCGGUGAAAUGCGUAGAGAUCAGGAGGAACACCGAUGGCGAAGGCAGGUCUCUGGGCCGAUACUGACGCUGAGGAGCGAAAGCGUGGGGAGCGAACAGG